UAUUUGGCAGUGUAUAUAGCCAUGAUCAAUGUAAUAACAAUGUGGGCAUAUGUAAAUAAUUACCUUGAAAACUUGCACAGUCUGUUGUGGGACAAAUGGUGGGGGAGAGAAUGAACGGCGAACUGAACUGAACGGCACGGAACUCGGCAAACGUAACAUAGAGCGGCUCGGAAGCUCAAACAAACGCUACCUUUUAAACGUCACGGUUAACUUCGGCACGCCACGCUACCAAUAGUAAUCCCAACCGUAGCAAUGAUAGAAAUAAGGAACGUAACAACUUAUAGAGAGAAAAAAUAGUUUCACAGUGGUGACAGCGGUGGGAUUACAAAAACUGACUUUUAUUUUAAGCACGCCAAAGGCGAGCUAAAUUAAUCUGUUGUCGGUUCCGCUCCAAACAGGGCGGCGAACCCAAUGUUUUUUUUUUUAUUGCAAUAUAUUUCUUAAAUUGUGAUAUUGUUUUGCCUUUAAUAUUAAAUGUAAGUCAUGUAUGUAGGUAUCGGGCCGUUCAUGUUCGCAGUGGUUCAUCUCCCCCGACCUGUCCCGGCCAGUGGGCCAGGCGGGCGGCUCGGCCCUCGCGGUCAGUCACCGCGGGGUGCCAGCGCCGGCUCGCGGCGGUCCCGCGGCAAUUAGGCCCUGCCCUCCGCUCUGUCUGAUUGGUGUAGGGACGGAGGAUGGGCGUGGCCAAAUUGAGUGUGGGGCUGAGGGGUGCCUCUGAGGACAGUGUAUGUCCAGGUGUUCUUCCGCGUCAUUGCUGAGGGUUCUCGGGUCCAUUCGUGCAUUGUGCUGAAAGCAACGAGUUUUGAGAUGUCUACCCGGAGUUCGGAAUCAUUCUCUCAUCUAUAAUCAUCGGAGGGAUGUGAGAAACUUUGUUCCUCCGACACGGCCAGACCGUGGCUGCACCGCCGGACCCGGCGCGGCGGACCGCGCGGCGACCGCACCGCACCCCACCGGCUGAUGGGCCCGGCGCGCCCUCUAAUCUGCCGACGGCCGGGGGCGGAAUGCGGCGGCGGCCGCGCACAAACAACCGCGGGGGAGGAUGCGGCGUGGUGGGAACCGAGAGCCGGCGCAGGAGCGUGACCAGCAGCAGGUCGACAGACCCGAGCUCCUCCGACGGCGCAGCGGACCACACCGGACCUCCUGACGCCGC
Molecule: long non-coding RNA, 1147 nt
Organism: Amphibalanus amphitrite
Lineage: Eukaryota; Metazoa; Arthropoda; Thecostraca; Balanomorpha; Balanidae
Exons: 2
Source: RefSeq, a predicted model, not a curated record